RNAcentral lists this non-coding RNA (28 nucleotides) under Homo sapiens (human). Lineage: Eukaryota; Metazoa; Chordata; Mammalia; Primates; Hominidae. The record is from RNAcentral.
UCCCAACCAAGAAACUGGCGAAGCUGCA